CUGAUGGCCACAGGUGAUCUG
RNAcentral lists this unclassified non-coding RNA (21 nucleotides) under Mus musculus (house mouse). Its description in RNAcentral is "oocyte_clustered_small_RNA8878". The record is from RNAcentral. Lineage: Eukaryota; Metazoa; Chordata; Mammalia; Rodentia; Muridae.